AAAUGAGGCAAAGUGUCCGAGGAUGGGGGAGAGGAAGGGGAGUGCGUCCUAAACGGAGCGGACCCCCCUGGAUUUCAAUGCUGACCACGCGGUGCAAUCCUGAGGGAAUGCACCCUAGAGCCAGUUGUGGGGCCAACCUUUAAUCUUCCUACAGAAUCUCCAACCAUAGAGGAGGAGACUUCCUGUCCUUAUUUGAUCCCAAGACCAGUGAUUACAACUGCUAACAAUGGUAAUAAAAAUGAUGAGUAUUUCUAGGCUAUUUCAUUAAUGUUUUACGUUAAUUGGCCACCACUUAAGAUAAGUUUACAAGUUAAGCUUUAGUUGGAAGCAUCUGGCUGGUUGUUUAGGGGAUGCUGCCACAGAGGAUGUAACAGUAUUAGUACCUACCCCGGCACAGAAGAAACGUAGACGUGGCCCAGCCAACUGCACUGAGUUCGAGAAGUUUUGUAAGCACGGGCCAAUACAUUUGAAGAUCAAUGAUGGGGAGAUGGCACCAUGUUGUUCUAAUGCCUGUAUGUUCACAACAAGGAUAACAUGGUUAUUGAAACACCAUGCAGACAUGAGUCAUGCAAGGUGGACGGAUGUACCCAAGCCCGAGAAGGAUGAGUUGAUGGAGCGCAUCUGGGGUGACUUUGAAUUGGAUUGGGAGAAGAACAAUCAUCAAAUGGUUGUUUGGAAAGCCCUACGUAAGCGUUUUAACGCUUAUCACCAUGAUUUGCACAAGAAGUAUAUGAAGUUUGCCACUCAUGAGGAAGCAUUGGCUUCCGAGACUAGUAUGGUCAACCCAAUAGUAUGGACUAAACUUUGUGAGAGAUGGGGAAGUGAUUCUUUCAAGAAAAUGUCAGCUAGAAAUAGAGAGAGUCUCAAGAAACUCGAAGUUAAUCGUAAAUGACGUACAUCGGGGUGUAAGUCAUUUGUUAGGGUACUCAAAGAAAAGCGAGUAGACAAGACCAACGUAGUGGACUUCUAUCGACACACUCGCUGGUCAAAGAAGAAAGAGAAGUUUGUGACACCAGCAACGGAACAUAAUUAUAACAAGAUGACCAGUAGAAUGGAUACAUUAGAGCUU
Carya illinoinensis is the source of this 1069-nucleotide long non-coding RNA. RefSeq lists it as uncharacterized. The transcript is spliced from 5 exons. Lineage: Eukaryota; Viridiplantae; Streptophyta; Magnoliopsida; Fagales; Juglandaceae. The record is from RefSeq and is a predicted model, not a curated record.